UAUUAUGGUGAUCACGACCUAUCUAUGAUUACAUACAGCCAUACACGUCCUUGUCACAGUUCCCAUCUAGCCCCUCAUAAAAUUUGUCUCCAUUUCAAAUGCUGCAUCACUCCCACCCUGUAUUUUCAUUAUCCCACAUGCACCACAUUGGCGUGUUCAAAAUUUCUUUUACCAUCAUCACCAUUCAUAUCUCUUAGUGAAAUGCUAGCAAAAAAAACCAAUGUGUCCCAUGAGACCUCCCCACAAAAGGUUCAAGUUCAACUCGUCCCAAAAUCUGUGUCCGAUAGGUUGCUAGAGAAGUUCUAUGAUGAGUCACAGUUCGAUUUUGACUAUGAGCAAAGUGGUUUAUGGUCUCCUCCGGUUCCACGCACAGUGUUCUUGAGCUCCCCGGGAAGAAUAUUCACUGAGCAAGAAAUGCUUGAAAGACUCAGAAGCAAAAAUUCACCAAGACAUCGCAAAAAGUUCAGAGUUUGUUUCGGUGUAUAAUGAUUCAUUCUUCUUAGUUCUUUCCCUGUUCCAUUGGUUCCAACCAUGGUGUUCUGUUGUGCCUGACAGUGAAUGUAAACAAAGUGCGAAGAUUUUGUUGCACUGUUUCUUGUUUAGAAUACAAAGGGAAUCCAAAACUUCCCUAUGAUUGUUUUAUCAUAUUCACAGGAAUUUAUUUACGUGUAUUUUCUUUUCUUUUUCUCUAGCCAAAAGUGAUGUAUAUGUGAAUUUAUAUAUUUUAAGAAAACAUAUAUAGUGUAUCAAUUUGU
This is a long non-coding RNA of Cajanus cajan (pigeon pea), 755 nucleotides long. RefSeq lists it as uncharacterized. Lineage: Eukaryota; Viridiplantae; Streptophyta; Magnoliopsida; Fabales; Fabaceae. The record is from RefSeq and is a predicted model, not a curated record.